Molecule: long non-coding RNA, 568 nt
Organism: Passer domesticus (house sparrow)
Lineage: Eukaryota; Metazoa; Chordata; Aves; Passeriformes; Passeridae
Exons: 4
Source: RefSeq, a predicted model, not a curated record
UAUUGGAAACAGCACUUCAAAACUUUGGGAAGUUCAAAUAGAUACAAAUAGAGAAAGAAGGACUGAGAGCAAACAAGGGAGAGCCGCAGUUCAGAGCAGAGUAAGACAGCUGGCCAAGGAAGACAACCCAUGUUAUUUCACAGACAGGAAAUAAAAGGAAUUAUUUUCAAAAGGAUGACCUGACAGCAGAGGGAACCAACCAUGGCUCAGUGACUCCCAGCACUGAUCCCCACUGGCAAAAGAAAAACAGAAAAAACAGCACCUGCAAAAGUCUGAAUUUAUGAAACUCAAUGUAUGGUAAACAUCCAAACAAGCUACUCUGAAACAUGAUAGCACUGCUCAUCCCAGGGACCUGUGAUCUGCCUUCAAACAGACACCAGAAGAUGGAAUCUCUUGACCAGGUUGCCUUUUCCAAGACAAGGAAGGAAUAAGGUUUCUGGGCAACAGCAGUUGCUGGAUCACAAGGGGCAGCAGGACUGCACUGCAGUUCCUGUCCUAUCCCGUGAAAACAACCAGUCCUUCUGUGCACACCCUGACCUGGGCUCCCUCACUCCUGACAAAAUACCAC